Long non-coding RNA from Cornus florida, 880 nucleotides. RefSeq lists it as uncharacterized. The transcript has 2 exons. The record is from RefSeq and is a predicted model, not a curated record. Lineage: Eukaryota; Viridiplantae; Streptophyta; Magnoliopsida; Cornales; Cornaceae.
UAUGAUUUUUAGCGUGUCUCUAUUUAUUAAUUAUGUAUUUAUGUUUUGUUUGCUGAAGAGUUGAAAUGGGUGUUGCAAUUUGAAAAUAGAAGAAGAAAAGGAAAAGGUGGUGAUGGCGACGUUUGGCUUCACGUGGGCUUAUUGGGUGAGAGAUUGUGUUCCAUGUUUUUUUGUGAAAUGAAAAGAAUUGAAAAAGGUGGGAAAUAGGAUUGUGAUGAUCUUUUUUUUGGGUCCCACCAAUGUGAUUUUGUGACCAAAAAGUUUCUGGUCUUUAUUUUCUUCACGUGGGUUAGUCUGUUAGAGUGGAGUGUGAUAUUGUUGUAUUGACAGAUAUGAUGUGAUAAGGAAGAAAAUUAUGAGGAAAGAAAUUAUGGGUUGUGGGUUCAUUGAUUAAUGAUUGUCUUUUGAUAUUUGUGUGUGGUUAGCAUUUGUUCAUGAGUAGGUGAAUUGGCCUAUUUAAUUGUGUGUUGGGUGCACUACUACGUAAGAAUGAAUACAGAGAGAGUAAGCAGAGACAGAAGAGAAAAAAUUGGAGAGAGACAGUGAGAGCCGAGAGUUAGAGAGAGAGAAACAGAGUGAGUUGAGAGAGGGACAAAGGAGCUGAGAGUUGCAGAGGAGGCCGGAGUUUGAGGAUUGAUGAUCCAUAAAUCUUUUUGAGUGUAAGGUUCUUUAUACCUUGAAUGACAUGGUACUGAAGAUGGACGGGGAUCGUAGAGACGGACUUAGGAUGAAGGGUUGGCGUGCAGGAUUUAUUUUAUUUAUUUGGAGAAUUUUUGUAUAUUUGAUAAAUUGAUUUCUGUAUAAAAGAGAGGGCAAUUUUUCGGAUCCUGGGUGUAUUUUGAUGUAUUUGUAUAUGAAUAAAUGGAGGAUUUUAUUAGAA